UGGUCUGGUGGAUGGUUGUGUGUUAGUUUAGCUUGGGGUUCUGGCUUUAUGUCCUCAUGCAUGCUUUGAGGAAUUGUUUUUGCACUUCCAAUUUGUUUGAGUGUAAAAUAUUUAUUUUAUUUAUUAUUCAUUUUGACGAUUGAAAAUCCCAAGAGAGUAGCACGUUCUUUUUUUUCUUUUUCCUCUUCUUUUUCUCUCUAUAAAAUAGAACAACUUUUUUUUUCUUUUUGCUUUGCUU
Molecule: long non-coding RNA, 238 nt
Filed under: Gossypium raimondii (Peruvian cotton)
Lineage: Eukaryota; Viridiplantae; Streptophyta; Magnoliopsida; Malvales; Malvaceae
Description: long non-coding RNA (GRAI_LNC010367)
Source: RNAcentral